CGAUCGUCGCCCGGCGGCCGUACUUUCGGCGGGCAGAGCGCCACGACCGGUUCGCGCGCGGCCAGAAACGGCAGGGCAAGGUGCCCGGCGCCUCGGCGUCGGUUCUUACAGGCCAGGCCGCGUUGGCCCGUGCGCGGACCGUGGACGACGCGGCGGCCCGUUGACCGCCGGCCGUGCGGGAGCGUUCGACUCGGGGGGACUGGCGUCCAGUGCCCUCGGACCGCGCUUCCGUACCGGUCGGACGGCGCGGCGGGUCGCCUGGGGUCGGUGGCGAAUCGACCGGCAACCUGUCCGACCCGUCUUGAAACACGGACCAAGGAGUCUAACACGUGCGCGAGUCGUUGGGCGUUACGAAACCCGAAGGCGCAAUGAAAGUGAAGGCCGGCCUCGCGUCGGCCCAGGUGGGAUCCGGGCGUCCGGCGCACCACCGGCCCGUCUCGUUCGCAACGUCGAGGAGGCGGAGCAAGAGCGUACGCGUUGGGACCCGAAAGAUGGUGAACUAUGCCUGAGUAGGACGAAGCCAGAGGAAACUCUGGUGGAGGUCCGCAGCGAUUCUGACGUGCAAAUCGAUCGUCAAACUUGGGUAUAGGGGCGAAAGACUAAUCGAACCGUCUAGUAGCUGGUUCCUGUCGAAGUUUCCCUCAGGAUAGCUACGCUCGGCAGUUUUAUCCGGUAAAGCGAAUGAU
This 686-nucleotide ribosomal RNA is filed under the name Pontoscolex spiralis. Its description in RNAcentral is "LSU rRNA". The stretch from base 313 to 686 matches the Rfam family "Eukaryotic large subunit ribosomal RNA", at positions 665 to 1021 of the family's 3401-position model. Lineage: Eukaryota; Metazoa; Annelida; Clitellata; Crassiclitellata; Glossoscolecidae. The record is from RNAcentral.